This 498-nucleotide ribosomal RNA is filed under the name uncultured bacterium. Its description in RNAcentral is "bacterial SSU rRNA". It matches the Rfam family "Bacterial small subunit ribosomal RNA", at positions 66 to 543 of the family's 1533-position model. The record is from RNAcentral.
ACGCGAAAGCUCCCUUCGGGGAGCAAGUAGAGUGGCGCACGGGUGAGUAACACGUAGGUAAUCUACCUUUGGAUGGGGAAUAACAACCGGAAACGGUUGCUAAUACCGCAUAAUGCAGCGGCACCUAAUGGUGACAGUUGUUAAAGCGGGGGAUCGCAAGACCUCGCGUCUGAAGAGGAGCCUGCGGCAGAUUAGCUAGUUGGUAAGGUAACGGCUUACCAAGGCGAUGAUCUGUAGCCGGCCUGAGAGGGCGGUCGGCCACACUGACACUGACAUACGGGUCAGACUCCUACGGGAGGCAGCAGUCGGGAAUUUUGGGCAAUGGGCGAAAGCCUGACCCAGCAACGCCGCGUGAAGGAUGAAAUCCCUCGGGAUGUAAACUUCACAAGAACGGGAAGAAUAAGUAAGAGUUAAUAUCUCUUACGAUGACGGUACUGUUUGUAAGCUCCGGCUAACUCCGUGCCAGCAGCCGCGGUAAUACGGGGGGAGCAAGCGUUG